Molecule: long non-coding RNA, 231 nt
Organism: Alligator mississippiensis (American alligator)
Lineage: Eukaryota; Metazoa; Chordata; Crocodylia; Alligatoridae
Exons: 3
Source: RefSeq, a predicted model, not a curated record
GGCUUGCUCCUGGAUUUCAGCCUCUGGAUUCUUCUUGCAGAUCUGGUUCCUGAUUUCUGACCCAGAUGGGAGCAAGUGUCAUGUUGAAUAUCAUACUGCACUUCUGUAAGGUCUCUGCAAUGUCUAAAAAUGAGGAGGAGGAGGAGAUGAUGGCGAGUAAUUCUGGCCAUCUUGGGAUUCACUUAAACCCAUCGAGACCGUGACUGGACACGAUGUAAUUGUCUGAAGAGG